UGUGAACACACACACUUCCAGCUGACCCUCCACAUCUCUGUUGUAAGCAGAUCCUUACAACAUUUUAAAAAUGAAAUAUGCCCUCUAAAAAUAAUGUGUGCCAAAAGGACUUGUAUCCAGCAUGCAUAAAGAUUUCUUAAAACUUAAUAAUAAAAUAAAACAACUGUUUUUUAAAAAGGUGCAAGAGUUGAACAAACAUUUCCCGAAAGAUGAUAUAUGAAUGAGCACUUGAAAAGAUCUUCAACAUUGUUAGUCAUCAGGGAAAUGCAACUAAAAUCCACAAUGAUAAACUGCAUACCCAUUAAAAUGGCUAAAAUUUAAGACUCAUAAAUCAAAUAUUGCUGAGACUGGAGCAAGUGGAACUUUCAUGCACUGCUGGUGAGUCACAAUGUAAAAUGUUACGUUGUGACUUUAGAAAAUAGCUUGGCAGUCUCUUGAAACAUACACCUACCAUCCAGCCAUUCUAUUCCUAGGUUUAUCCAUAUGGCCAAAGAUUUUUAUACAAGUGUUCAUGGUGUUACUUAUAGUAGUUACAAAUUGCAGUAUAUCCAUACUAUGAAAUACUUCUCAGCAAUAAGAAGGGAUGAACUACUGAUCCUCAAAACAAUAUGAAUGAAUUUCAAAACAGUAUGCUAAGUGAAAGCAAGAGACUCAAAAGACUCUAUUUAAUUCUAUUUACAUGACAGUCUAAAAAAGUCAAAAGCAGGUUGGUUGGCAGGAGCUCAGGAAAGAACUGACUGCAGUGGGUUAAGAGAAAACUUUUCGGGGUGAUGGAAAUUUUAUCUUAAUUGAGGUGGUAGGCGUACUUCAGGUGUAGGUUAUACCUUCGUAAAGCUGGGAGAAAAGGAAUUUAACGUAGUAUUUUACUGAUUUUAACUACAUAACACCAGUUGAUAAAUGCCUAGAGAAAUAGCCUGAACUGUAGAAUUGGCAGUUCUGCUCAAGAUGGCUCACUGGUCCACAACUAUUAAUGAUAUAUUCUCCCUUAGUUUCAGGUUCGCUCUAGUUAAAAUCAUGGCUUAUGGAUCAUCGUAUGAUAGCCAUUGUUGAAGUAGGUGGAACUAUUUGUUCUGUCAGCAGCUACCCACCUGGAUAUUUUUGGGGGUGGCCAAAAUUACUUGUAAUGAAAAACCCACUAAUGCCUAAUUGUGUAUCCCAGCAUGAAAGGGGAAAGAUCAACUCCAUGCAUCGUGUAGAUGUUUCUGCCCUCGGAAGCAGGAAAUGGUAGGAAGAAAAACAGUGUCGGCUUCAUUGGAAGAAGCGAACUUCAGCUCAUGAGUUGAGGCUCUGCAGCCAGAUCAUCUUACACGUGUCCCUGGUGAAGCAUUUGAACGGGAGCCAGGGCAGUCUGAGUAACCUACUACAAACCAGACAGCCUAACCACUGCCCCUGCUCUCAGCAAUGAUGGGCUCAUCAGCUUGGUAAGAGAGAACAUUACUCACAAUCUUGCUUCUCAGUCUUAAUCUGUUUGUGCUUAGUGUUUUGUAUAACAUCACUAACCCUAAUACUAGAGUAUUGACUUUGGCCCUUCUGUCCAUUUUAUCCAAAAGCAGACAGAUAGCCUUCAAGGCACACCAUUGCCUUAAGUAGAAUAUGCCUCCUAAGCAAUGAAAGCCUUUGACCCAUCUGAUAUCCAAGUUCUGGCUUAUUAUGUUAUUAGGGCCUUGAAUAACUUUAUGUAUAUUAUUAUGGACUGAGUGUAUCCCCACAAAUUCAUGUUGACCCUCUGACCUCCAGUGUGAUGGUCUUUGGAGAUGAGGCCUUUGGCAGGUGAUUAGAGCUAGAUGAGGUCAUGAGAGGGGGGCCCUCAUGAGAGGCUCAGUGGCCUGAUAAGAAGAAACACCGGAGAGCUUGCUGUUUCUCUGCCUACCUGGCACACACAUACAGAAGAGGUGAUGUGACCACACAGCAACAUGGUGGCCACCAGCAAGCUAGAAGAGGGAUCAGAAUGAAACCUAUUUUGCUGGCACCUUGAUCUUGGACUUCUAGCCUCCAGAACUGUGAGAAAUAAAAUUCUUUUAUUGAAGCCA
Molecule: long non-coding RNA, 2030 nt
Organism: Nomascus leucogenys (northern white-cheeked gibbon)
Lineage: Eukaryota; Metazoa; Chordata; Mammalia; Primates; Hylobatidae
Exons: 2
Source: RefSeq, a predicted model, not a curated record